UGGCGAACGGGUGAGUAACACGUGGGUAAUCUGCCCUGCAUUCUGGGAUAAGCCUGGGAAACUGGGUCUAAUACUGGAUAUGACCUUUCUCCUUAUGGGGUUUGGUGGAAAGUUUUUCGGUGUAGGAUGAGCCCGCGGCCUAUCAGCUUGUUGGUGGGGUGAUGGCCUACCAAGGCGACGACGGGUAGCCGGCCUGAGAGGGUGAUCGGCCACAUUGGGACUGAGAUACGGCCCAG
RNAcentral lists this ribosomal RNA (236 nucleotides) under uncultured Actinomycetales bacterium. RNAcentral's name for it is "partial 16S ribosomal RNA". It matches the Rfam family "Bacterial small subunit ribosomal RNA", at positions 96 to 334 of the family's 1533-position model. Lineage: Bacteria; Bacillati; Actinomycetota; Actinomycetes; Actinomycetales. The record is from RNAcentral.